UGCAAGUCGAACGGAAAACAUAGCAAUAUGUUUUUAGUGGCGAACGGGUGAGUAACGCGUAGACAACCAACCUUUUUGUGGGGGACAACACUUCGAAAGGAGUGCUAAUACCGCAUACGCUCCAGAUGCCGCCUGGUGUUUGGAGGAAAGGAGCUUUACGGCUUCGCAAAAAGACGGGUCUGCGUCUGAUUAGCUAGUUGGAGGGGUAACGGCCCACCAAGGCGACGAUCAGUAGCCGGUCUGAGAGGAUGGACGGCCACACUGGGACUGAGACACGGCCCAGACUCCUACGGGAGGCAGCAGUGGGGAAUCUUCCGCAAUGGACGAAAGUCUGACGGAGCGACGCCGCGUGAGUGAUGAAGGCCCUUGGGUCGUAAAGCUCUGUCAUCAGGGACGAACGGUCACGUCAGGAAAUGGGCGUGAAUUGACGGUACCUGAGAAGGAAGCCACGGCUAACUACGUGCCAGCAGCCGCGGUAAUACGUAGGUGGCGAGCGUUGUCCGGAAUUAUUGGGCGUAAAGCGCGCGCAGGUGGGAUCUUAAGUCUGUUCUGAAAGUUCGGAGCUUAACUCCGUGAUGGGGUGGAAACUGGGAUUCUUGAGUAUCGGAGAGGAAAGCGGAAUUCUCCGUGUAGCGGUGAAAUGCGUAGAUAUGGGGAGGAACACCAGUGGCGAAGGCGGCUUUCUGGACGAUGUCUGACA
Molecule: ribosomal RNA, 700 nt
Filed under: uncultured bacterium
Lineage: Bacteria
Description: bacterial SSU rRNA
Rfam family: Bacterial small subunit ribosomal RNA
Source: RNAcentral